This 448-nucleotide ribosomal RNA is filed under the name uncultured bacterium. RNAcentral describes it as "bacterial SSU rRNA". It matches the Rfam family "Bacterial small subunit ribosomal RNA", at positions 29 to 524 of the family's 1533-position model. The record is from RNAcentral.
AGCGAACGCUGGCGGCAGGCUUAACACAUGCAAGUCGAGCGCCCCGCAAGGGGAGCGGCAGACGGGAGAGUAACACGUGGGGACAUACCUUUUGGUUCGGAACAACUGAGGGAAACUUCAGCUAAUACCGGAUAAGCCCUUACGGGGAAAGAUUUAUCGCCGAAAGAUUGGCCCGCGUCUGAUUAGCUAGUUGGUGAGGUAACGGCUCACCAAGGCGACGAUCAGUAGCUGGUCUGAGAGGAUGAUCAGCCUCAUUGGGACUGAGACACGGCCCAAACUCCUACGGGAGGCAGCAGUGGGGAAUAUUGGACAAUGGGCGCAAGCCUGAUCCAGCCAUGCCGCGUGAGUGAUGAAGGCCUUAGGGUUGUAAAGCUCUUUUAACGGGGAAGAUAAUGACGGUACCCGUAGAAUAAGCCCCGGCUAACUCCGUGCCAGCAGCCGCGGUAAU